Molecule: ribosomal RNA, 430 nt
Filed under: Chloroflexota bacterium
Lineage: Bacteria; Bacillati; Chloroflexota
Description: Chloroflexi bacterium partial 16S ribosomal RNA
Rfam family: Bacterial small subunit ribosomal RNA
Source: RNAcentral
UGGGGAAUAUUGCACAAUGGGCGCAAGCCUGAUGCAGCCAUGCCGCGUGUGUGAAGAAGGCCUUCGGGUUGUAAAGCACUUUCAGCGGGGAGGAAGGCGGUGAGGUUAAUAACCUCACCGAUUAACGUUACCCGCAGAAGAAGCACCGGCUAACUCCGUGCCAGCAGCCGCGGUAAUACGGAGGGUGCAAGCGUUAAUCGGAAUUACUGGGCGUAAAGCGCACGCAGGCGGUCUGUCAAGUCGGAUGUGAAAUCCCCGGGCUCAACCUGGGAACUGCAUUCGAAACUGGCAGGCUAGAGUCUUGUAGAGGGGGGUAGAAUUCCAGGUGUAGCGGUGAAAUGCGUAGAGAUCUGGAGGAAUACCGGUGGCGAAGGCGGCCCCCUGGACAAAGACUGACGCUCAGGUGCGAAAGCGUGGGGAGCAAACAGGA